GCUGCUCCAGGAGGAGGCAGCGCAUCAAACCAAGAGCGCGCGUGGAGGAAAGGCCGCGGGGCCCCUGUGCCCGGAGCUUCUUCGUCUCGGGGUGCCGAGUGUCUUCUAACUGAAAGAGACCCAGCCCUGCGGUGGGUCAGGCCUGGAAGGACCGUGUGGGUCCCAGAGGCACACGGGAGGCAGCCGGGUCGAGGUGCCUCCGGGUGCCGUGUCUGACCGGAGCUGCCAGCGCUCCCGGGCCGUGGGGCCUCGGCCAGCUGGCUGGGCCGUGGCGCUCAGCAGCAGGGGGCUCUUCUCGCAGCCUCCGGCGAGCUCGGGGAUGCCGACACUCCCGCUGGGACCCCUGGCUGCCCCAUCUUGGGCAUGAGGCGGUUGGGCUUGGCGAGAGGGGCAGGUGCCAGAGGGCGUGCCAGCCAGUCGAGAAAAGGUGCCAGAGGGGCGGGUAGGGCCGGGCAGGUGGCGGUGCUUCGGCGGCGGCGCCCUGGGAGCUGGGAGGGCGGGUCGCGCUCACCUGGGUCAUGAGGCGGUCGGCGCCCGUGUUCUCCUCGUCCUUGAAGAUGAUGUCGGGAUUGUAAUUGGGGAGCUCAGCACCCCGCAGUCAUCUCUAUUUUGAAGAGAACAAGAAAAAGCUACCUCUCUGCAUAACCUGAUGAAUACUAAUUUGUUUUUUUUUUUUGCUCACAAGAGUGAAAGUUGGAAAAAUAGUCUGGAAGACCAACCCUGCUCUAAAGCCAUGGUGCGGAGCCACAAGCAAACAAGUGUCGGGAAUGCAGUUAGUGACCUACCCUCCGGGAGCUCCGUGCACGGCGGCUGUGGCUAGUAGAGGAAGCACUGGGCCUGGACUUGGCAGAUCUGUGCCUGGACACUGUCUUUGGUACCUGCAACCUGCAUGGCCUUGGGCAAGUCCCUGGACUUCUCUACAUUUGCAUUUUCUCAUCUAUAAAGUGAAAAUACCACCUACCCCAUAGGGUUCAUGAGAGGGUUAAAAUACAAGCUGCAAGUACAGAUAUUAUGUAGAAUUCAUUGCUCUUCUCUGCUGGGCCCACUAGCAGUAGUCCCAGUUCGCUGGUGCCUAUUGCCCAUGUAGGGGGGUAGUCAGGAUGCUCGUGUAUGUGUGCCCCAAGACAGCAGUGGGGAUUAGGAGGCCCUAGUUCUUUCUACUAGGGAGCAUCUGCCUUGUGUACACCGGUAUAGUAGGUACCUAAGGACAGAAAGUGCAAACAGAAAAGUAGAAGAUACGGUCAUUGUCCUCUGGGCAUUUACUAUUUAAACCUAAAGACACAUCACGAAAAUAACAGGCAGUGACAAAACCAUGAACACCACUCAUGAAUGACCACAGAAUAAUGUAUGAGAAACCAGUUAAUAGAUAAGAUGAACUUGGUCUAGAAGAAUAUGGAGCUAAGAAACAAUCAUGUACACCCAAAACUAAUGUAAUAUUGAAUGUCCACUGUAACUGAAAAAAAAUUUAAUUAAAAAGAAAAAAGAAAAGAAACAAUGAGUCCGGAGUGAGAUGUCUUGGAGAAAAUCAGUGUUGAAGGAGGGACAGGAAUGAUGACAAGAAUGAAGAUCCUCAGAAAAGGGCAGCCAGC
This is a long non-coding RNA of Phyllostomus hastatus (greater spear-nosed bat), 1589 nucleotides long. RefSeq lists it as uncharacterized. NCBI's taxonomy places the organism in Eukaryota, Metazoa, Chordata, Mammalia, Chiroptera, Phyllostomidae. The record is from RefSeq and is a predicted model, not a curated record. The transcript has 3 exons.